AAUAGAUAAACAGAGCUAGCCAUUUCUCACCUACUUUAACUUUUGAAUAUAACUAAUCUAAACCUUUUUCUGAACUGUUCCUAUACUUGGUUUCACAGUGGAAAGUUUUAAAAAAAAAAGGAACACCAAAAUUUUCUGCAGUUAAAAGGCUUUUUAUCUGGACUCCCAUUUCUCAAAUUUUUGCAUGGGAGUCAGAUUUUUCUUCUCUUAUGUAGACUGUUAAAUCAUUAAGAUUUGUUGAAUCUCAGAGUGCUCCAGUUGGACACAUAUUUAAUUUGUGAAGAUAUUUUAAUUAUUGGUUUUGACUUCAGAUCCAAAUUGAUUCUAGAUAUUUUCUAUCCCGGAAUUAAUUUAUUUUAUAAUCCUCGGGUUUCUGAGGCUUAGAUGGUAUCCUUAUAAUCUUUCCUAAUAGCAAAUUAUGCUUCAUUAUUCAGUAACAGAAUUGCUAUACUCUUUUAUUUUUUAUUUUUUUUUUAUACUCUUUUACAUGUUCUUAAAGAGUAGAACUUUCAGAGUGUAUUUCCAAGUAAUAAAAUUAUUUAAUCUUAUGGGAAACAACUAUAAAUAAUCCUACUGUGCUUUUGCAUUUUCAAAUUGAGUUUGUUUUCAAAGCAUAUUUCACUGUAUAUUUGUGUUUCAUGAUAACAGACUCAGCAAAUUUAGCUGCUGAAAGCCAUUUAAGUAUAUUUAUAUAUUGAGAUCUUGCACAAUUUAUAUUUUUCAUGUCUAUAAAGCAAAAUUAUAUUUGAUAGAUAACACUAUUAUAUGAUGUGAUGCUUUCAUAAACAAAAGUAUCUUUCAAAAAUUGGUGCAUGUCACCAUACCCUAUUAAAAGUGGACGUAUGUAUAUGUUGUUAUUUAAUUGUUAUAUCUAUUUUGACCUCUGAGUAACCUCUGCCAGCAUUAUUUCAAGAGAAAGCAUACAUCAUUUACUAAUUUAUAUAUUCACUUACUUGUAUCAUGUUUUAUGUAUUAUAUGUUAUUAUAUCUUUAUAUUUACAUUACUAAUAUAGUCUAAAAAGACAAGUACUAUAUAAAAUAAAAGCAAUGUUACAUUGCUUUUGCAUGGCUCUUAACUACUGUUUGGAUAUAUAUUUUCUUUUAUCUUCUUAAAACCUUUUGAAAUAAGAUUUAUAAUCCUGUACAUUUGUUUAAAAAAGACUGAGAUAUGGUAGCAAUAAAUGAUAUGCCAAAGUCACAAAUUCUGAUAAAUUCAGUGCUAGAAUUAACAUACAGCUUUCCUGAAUCACAAUUCAAUAAUAUUUCAAGUGCAGAUUGUCAAAAGUAAGGAUUAAAAUAACUUUAACAGUUCCCUUUGAAGAUAUGUGUGUGUGUAUGUGUGUGUGCACAUGCACGAGUGUGUGCCUCUAUAAUAUUUUUAUGUGAAAUGGUUCAAUAAGCUGCCUGGCACAUCCAGAAAUGCCCCCAAUUAAAAUCAAACAUAUAUUAGAAAUAUUUCACAAUAUGUAGGUUUUAUUUUUUCCCUUGUGAUCAUUAUCUCUUCUUUGAGAAAUGGCCUCUAAUAAAGAUAUUCAUUUGGCCCCAGGAUACGUGUACAUUAAGGAAAUAAAAACCUCAAGAGUUCUCCCUUCCCUAUUAUAUCCAUAAGAUAUUUGUCAAACAUCCCUAGGGCCUUUCCCUUACUGGUCAGCUGUGCACAGAGAUCAUUAUGAAAACUUCAUGUAGUUUUGCACUAUAACUUUGUGAUCCUUCAGAGCCAUUAUAUCUUCUAAGACUUCCUUGUGCUUUAUUGAAAGCUUCAGGGAAAAUAAAUAUGUCUUUCUAGACUCAGAACUUGAAAUGACAGUGGACUCAAGAGAUCAAGGUUAUCAAAACACAAGUUCUGUGUUAUGGCUUCUGUUUAUCUGCAGGAAAGCUGCCAAGGUGAAAGGGGUUGUUGUUAUUUUUAAAGUAUUGAAUUAUCUGGAAGAGGAAUUUCUUAUCAGUAUAGAUUAUUUUUGUUUCCAAUUCUAAAUGUUGACCUUAUUUUUGAUAUCAUCUCUGUCCUUUGACAGUUAUUAGCUUAUAGAUGAUUGUGGGGAAAAUAACUCCCAAACUUGUACACCCAGGAGGUUAUUGGGGAUGUUUGGCUAUGUGUUUGCUUUCAAAGAGGAAAAAAGAGAGGUGGAAAUGAAGAGAAAGAUCCUAUUAAAACAAGACCUUCAUAUUCACCACAUUUUAAAGUAAAAAUGUUUACUCCCACAGAUACUCAAUAUUUAUUUUGUGGUUUCUUGUGUCUUUUGUUUACCAAUGUAUAUAUCCAAAGGAAAGGGUAAAUACCCUGGUUUUCAAAGUAUUACAUUAAUGGUAUUUUGAGGAUGAUUUGUAUGCAGUUCUUUUUAAAGGAAAUAUUUAAGAAUGAAAAGAUGCUAUUGAAAAUUAUGUAAUAUCUACACACCUCUUAUAGACACUGAAAUUAUCCUAUAGGUUGUGUUUUUAUAGGAUCAGUUUAAUAAUCCCGAAAGGAAGUUAAAUCUAUUUCACUCCUGCUGAUUUUUGCACAGUGGGUUUUGAAAAAAGUUCCUUUAUGAAGUUAAAAGUUGCUUAUAGAUUCAGUGAGAUAAUGCAGCCUUAUAGAACUAUUUCCUGUCUACAGAUUUUUCUAACUCUUAGUUUAUCAGUUGUUCAUUUUACCCUCCUCCUUCUAUCUAUAAUGGAUGAUAUCAGGUGCAGCUGAUCCAAGUGAACCUUCAUGUGUAUCCUAAAGAAUAAGCCACAUGUUUAGAAUACCUUAUAAAUUUUCCUUUCAAGAGGGUGCUAUUUUAGGUCUGUGUUGAUUUAGUUAUAGGCCCUGGCUUAUUUAUGUGGAUCAGUACAAUAUGCAGAUAAUUUUGUUUGUUGAAAAUUUAAAAGCUACAAGCAUUUAGCCCAUGACAUUGGCCUUAGUACUGAAAGUCAGUGAGCCAUGAUACAUGUGAUCUGAGGAAUUAUCCACUGGAAGCACAUGAACCCAUGGUGGGAUAAAGAUGGUCUUCAGGGAGACCUCCAUGGCAGGCACAAUUAUUGCUCCAAGACUUCUAUUUUCAUAAUGUUGUCAGCAUUGGCCAGUAAAUCAGUAAAACCACCAGUCAGACCAUGCCCUUGGCAAAAUAUGAUACGGCAUAAUUACAAAGGAGAUUUUUAGAGAACACUCCCCAGAGUCCUUUGUGCUAAGUGCCUACGGGGUUUUUUUCUGCUGGUCUAUGAUUUGAUCAUGGCCAUACAUGUAUCUCCUUCCUCCAGGCUUCCUUUAUCUGUGGACUUUAUUUUGAAAUUUUUAUAUUAAGGCAAUGACUGCAUAUAACCAAUUAUAAAAAAUGCUGCUUAUAAAUAAAAAUAGUGAAGAACCCACCUGUUUCCUCUGGAAAUCUCACGUUCAAUUAGGUUUCAGUAAGAUUUGAUCUGGCUAAUCACUCAAUAUAUUAUUAUUUAUUUAGGUGUUAGAGGAACCAUGGCUAAUUUGUCAUCAUCCUGCUUAGUUGACAAUAAUGCUAAUACUGACUAUAUGUAAACAUUUGAUUUAAAAUACUGUUUCAAAGCUAUGACACACAUCUAGGGUCCUGCACGUACACCAAAGGCAAGAGGAUGUGCUUUUGCUUUUCCAGAUUAGCUUGUAGGAAACUUGGAGUUCUGGAUAAGUUAGAUGGCAUAUUCUUUAUUAUCACUCUAACUGUAGAAGUGACAGAGGACUUGGGAGGCUGUAUUACCACAGACAUGCAAGUGCCUACUUUCACAUUCUCUCAUUUUGGCACCUAUUAUGGGUGGGACUCAAACUUGGCACUCAAAAUUCUUAUGCUCUAAGUAGGACCAUAGACCUAUAAAGAUAUUAGAGUAGAGAUAUUUACAGAAAAAGAAUUUUCUUUUAAAAGAUCUGAGCAUACUUCACCAAAAGGGAAAAGUUCCAUCUUAAGGACUUGCUGAGUCAAGAAGAUGAGGAAAGUAAUCCUGAUAGCAUAGUCCUGAAGCAUGGGAGAAUAUGCUAUUGAUAUUGUUUUUGAGUUUACAAAAUGUUUUCCAGUACAUUGAAUGCUUUAAUAUUUCACCAGCCUUGCAUGACAAGUAUUACAUCAAGAGAAGUUAAAUGAUUUAUGCAGAGUCACCUAGAUAAUAAGUGUCAGAACUAGAAUUUGAAUGAACUAAUUCCUUCAUUUGGUCAAAACCACUUAUUAGAUAUCAAAAGAAAGAAAAAAAAAA
This 4173-nucleotide long non-coding RNA is filed under the name Canis lupus familiaris (dog). RNAcentral describes it as "lncRNA (ENSCAFG00845030536.1)". The record is from RNAcentral. Lineage: Eukaryota; Metazoa; Chordata; Mammalia; Carnivora; Canidae.